Long non-coding RNA from Mercenaria mercenaria, 298 nucleotides. RefSeq lists it as uncharacterized. The transcript is spliced from 3 exons. The record is from RefSeq and is a predicted model, not a curated record. NCBI's taxonomy places the organism in Eukaryota, Metazoa, Mollusca, Bivalvia, Venerida, Veneridae.
AACGUGGAACGGAGAGAAGAUUUAUAGAUUUCAAUUAUCUACUGUCGAUCACAAUUACAAUGACGAGACAGAAUUCCGCUUACGGCUUCAGUUAAGUGACAAUGUGGAUCAUUCCAUUUGGCAGGGUUUUAGACUAGAUAACAUCUCGGUUCACGUCGAAAAUUUCAUUUCCUAUCGUAACAAGCUAUGUUACUCCCACAUCGAUCCACAUAUGAAAACUGCUGACGGAGUUUAUUAUGAACAACAAAGAGUUGGUGACUACAUGUUAUAUCACAACACGUUUUAUGAUAUAGAGGUU